This 476-nucleotide ribosomal RNA is filed under the name uncultured bacterium. Its description in RNAcentral is "partial 16S ribosomal RNA". It matches the Rfam family "Bacterial small subunit ribosomal RNA", at positions 28 to 507 of the family's 1533-position model. The record is from RNAcentral.
GAUUAACGCUGGCGGCGUGCAUAACACAUGCAAGUCGAACGAUGAAACUUAGUAGACUUCUUCGGAAAGACACUAAGCGGAUUAGUGGCGAACGGGUGAGUAACGCGUGAGUAACCUGCCUUACACAAGGGGAUAGCCUUUGGAAACGAAGAAUAUACCCUAUAAAACCAUAAAAGCACAUGCUAGAAUGGUCAAAGUGAUAGCGGUGUAAGAUGGACUUGCGUCUGAUUAGCUAGUUGGUGAGAUAAAAGCUCACCAAGGCAACGAUCAGUAGCCGGCUUGAGAGAGUGUACGGCCACAUUGGGACUGAGACACGGCCCAGACUCCUACGGGAGGCAGCAGUGGGGAAGUUUGCACAAUGGGGGAAACCCUGAUGCAGCGACGCCGCGUGAUUUAGAAGGCCUUCGGGUUGUAAAAAUCUUUUGUAUAGGAAGAAAAUGACAGUACUAUACGAAUAAGGUCCGGCUAAUUACGUG